This 787-nucleotide long non-coding RNA is filed under the name Prunus persica (peach). Its description in RNAcentral is "long non-coding RNA (PPER_LNC007848)". Lineage: Eukaryota; Viridiplantae; Streptophyta; Magnoliopsida; Rosales; Rosaceae. The record is from RNAcentral.
AUGUCUUUACAGGUCCCCAAAUGCCCUGAAAAUAGCUCCCAACAGAAACUUAUCUUUACAGAGACAACUGGACGCAUUAUUCCUUCUCCAAAUGCCCCAGAAUUAGCUCCACACAGAAACUCCCUCCAAACUACAUUGACAGAUUAAAGAAUUAACUUCCCACAGAAACUCCCUCCAAAUUACAUUGUAGAAAUAGUUCACACUCUAUGCAAAACAUUAUAAACGCAUAAUGUUAUACAUGCACUAAAUACUAGAAACCUUGAUUUCUGUCUUUUUCUAUUGAAAAAUAAAAUAAAAACAACAAUCAUGUUUUCAAUUGCUUCAAAUUCCAAACAUGUACAGUUUAACCUACCGUGAAAUUCAACGUUUGCACUUGGCGAGAAGAUUUUAGUUUCAGUCUUUCAUUUUUACGUCUUGAUGUUGUCGCUAUUUCUAUGCCAUAAGGUCCCUCUAAUCCAAAUAACAGAAGUGGGAAAAUAGCGAAUUGGAAGCUUACCAAAGAAGUGCUUUGAGUCGUUUCGCCUAAAGCAUGUCUUUUGCUCGGGCUCGAGGUCUGUAUCGCCAUUGAAAUAGCUCCCUUUCUCACUGGUUAGGGUUUGUGGAUUUGUUGUUUUAAGUCAAAAGGGGGUGGAUUUGGGGGCUUUGCACGAUUCCAUUAUAAGGAAAUAGCUCAAAACGUCACCCUUUUAAUUGGAUUUGGGUAGAGAAUAAAACAGAGAGGAAGAGGAAGAACUGGGUUUUGAGGGCAAAGAUGUGGGUUUUGUAGGUUGUUCUUGAUCUUCUUCUU